UACGGAGGGGGCUAGCGUUGUUCGGAAUUACUGGGCGUAAAGCGCGCGUAGGCGGCUUUGUAAGUCAGAGGUGAAAUCCCGGGGCUCAACUCCGGAACUGCCUUUGAAACUGCAUCGCUUGAAUCCGGGAGAGGUGAGUGGAAUUCCGAGUGUAGAGGUGAAAUUCGUAGAUAUUCGGAAGAACACCAGUGGCGAAGGCGGCUCACUGGACCGGCAUUGACGCUGAGGUGCGAAAGCGUGGGGAGCAAAUAGG
RNAcentral lists this ribosomal RNA (253 nucleotides) under uncultured bacterium. RNAcentral describes it as "partial 16S ribosomal RNA". It matches the Rfam family "Bacterial small subunit ribosomal RNA", at positions 524 to 776 of the family's 1533-position model. The record is from RNAcentral.